GAUGAACGCUGGCGGCGUGCCUAAUACAUGCAAGUCGAGCGAACAGACGAUGAGCUUGCUCCUCUGACGUUAGCGGCGGACGUGUGAGUAACACGUGUAUAACCUACCUAUCAGACUGGGAUCACUUCGGGAAACCGGAGCUAAUACCGGAUAAUCUAUUGAACCGCAUGGUUCAAUAGUGAAAUACGGUUUUUCUGUCACUUCUCGCUGGAUCCGCGCCGCAUUAGAUAGUUGGUAAGGUAACGGCCUACCAAGGCAAGGAUGCGUAGCCGACGUGAGAGGGGGAUAGGCGGCACUGGAGGGUGAACAGCGACCAGACGACUAAGAGAGGGAGCAGAAGGGAAUGUGACGCAAUGGGGGGAAGCAUGAAGGAGUAACGCCGAGUGAGAGACGAAGGUGUUCGGAGCGUAAAAAUCGGUUAUGAGGGAAGAACAGAUGUGGAAGUAAAUAUGCACGGAGUGACGGUAACUGGUAAGAAAGCCACGGCUAACUACGUG
RNAcentral lists this ribosomal RNA (497 nucleotides) under uncultured bacterium. Its description in RNAcentral is "partial 16S ribosomal RNA". It matches the Rfam family "Bacterial small subunit ribosomal RNA", at positions 28 to 507 of the family's 1533-position model. The record is from RNAcentral.